GAUGAACGCUGGCGGCGUGCCUAAUACAUGCAAGUCGAGCGAACGGACGAGAAGCUUGCUUCUCUGAUGUUAGCGGCGGACGGGUGAGUAACACGUGGAUAACCUACCUAUAAGACUGGGAUAACUUCGGGAAACCGGAGCUAAUACCGGAUAAUAUUUUGAACCGCAUGGUUCAAAAGUGAAAGACGGUCUUGCUGUCACUUCUAGAUGGAUCCGCGCUGCAUUAGCUAGUUGUUAAGGUAACGGCUUACCAAGGCAACGAUGCAUAGCCGAACUGAGAGAGUGAUCGGCCACACUGGAGCUGAGACACGGUCAAUGGUCCUACGGGAGGCAGCAGUAGGGAAUCUGCCGCAAUGGGCGAAAGCAUGACGGAGCAACGCCACGUGAGUGAUAGAGGUCUUCGGAUCGUAAAACUCUGUUAUUAGGGAAGAACAGAUGUGUAAGUAACUGAGCACAUCUUGACGGUACCUAAUCAGAAAGCCACGGCUAACUACGUG
This 497-nucleotide ribosomal RNA is filed under the name uncultured bacterium. RNAcentral's name for it is "partial 16S ribosomal RNA". It matches the Rfam family "Bacterial small subunit ribosomal RNA", at positions 28 to 507 of the family's 1533-position model. The record is from RNAcentral.